This 200-nucleotide ribosomal RNA is filed under the name uncultured bacterium. Its description in RNAcentral is "partial 16S ribosomal RNA". It matches the Rfam family "Bacterial small subunit ribosomal RNA", at positions 28 to 241 of the family's 1533-position model. The record is from RNAcentral.
GAUGAACGCUAGCGGCAGGCUUAAUACAUGCAAGUCGAGGGGGCAGCAAUGUCACCGGCGGACGGGUGCGUAACGCGUAUGAAACCUACCUCAAUCAGGGGGAUAGCCCGAAGAAAUUCGGAUUAACACCGCAUAAAAACACAGUACAGCAUUGUACAAUGUUCAAAUAUUUAUAGGAUUGAGAUGGGCAUGCGUGUCAU